GGUGAUGGUUGUGUCACUCUCUUUCCAGCCUGUUGGCCUAAAAGUCCUGGAAGAGGCUGUGGACCCACAAUGGGUGGUGUUCAUGUCUAGAUGAUGGUUCCCAGUGGCAACACCAGGAAGAUUCAGCAGUUGCAGCCUGAAGGAAAAAUCCCAACCUUUGCCUAAGAGUAACACACAGGACCCCACACCACACUAGAAAUAAAACCGUAA
Long non-coding RNA from Herpailurus yagouaroundi (jaguarundi), 210 nucleotides. RefSeq lists it as uncharacterized. The record is from RefSeq and is a predicted model, not a curated record. NCBI's taxonomy places the organism in Eukaryota, Metazoa, Chordata, Mammalia, Carnivora, Felidae. The transcript is spliced from 2 exons.